UGACCCCAUCUUGGUGAACUUCAGUUUCCUUAUCUGUCUCUUAGAGUUGUCUUGGAUCCUGGCACUGUUAAUACUUCAGUCAUUCAUAGUUGAUCAUCAUACACUGUUGCUGUUCACUGUGUAUAACGUUCUCCUGAUUCUGCAACAUUCAUUUGGCAUCAUUUCAUAAAAGGUGAUCCAGCCUUUUGAAGAUGAGGAUUAGAGAGAAAAAGGGAC
Molecule: long non-coding RNA, 216 nt
Filed under: Monodelphis domestica (gray short-tailed opossum)
Lineage: Eukaryota; Metazoa; Chordata; Mammalia; Didelphimorphia; Didelphidae
Description: lncRNA (ENSMODG00000049726.1)
Source: RNAcentral